GCUCAGGUGGCGGAAUGGUAGACGCUGAGGACUUAAAAUCCUUUGGCCGUAAGGCCGUGCGGGUUCGAGUCCCGCCCCGAGUACCA
This 86-nucleotide transfer RNA is filed under the name Puniceicoccales bacterium. Its description in RNAcentral is "tRNA-Leu". It matches the Rfam family "tRNA". Rfam says of the family: Transfer RNA (tRNA) molecules are approximately 80 nucleotides in length. Their secondary structure includes four short double-helical elements and three loops (D, anti-codon, and T loops). Lineage: Bacteria; Pseudomonadati; Verrucomicrobiota; Opitutia; Puniceicoccales. The record is from RNAcentral.